AGUGAACGCUGGCGGUAGGCCUAACACAUGCAAGUCGAACGGCAGCACAGUAAGAGCUUGCUCUUACGGGUGGCGAGUGGCGGACGGGUGAGGAAUACAUCGGAAUCUACUUUUUCGUGGGGGAUAACGUAGGGAAACUUACGCUAAUACCGCAUACGACCUACGGGUGAAAGCAGGGGAUCUUCGGACCUUGCGCGAUUGAAUGAGCCGAUGUCGGAUUAGCUAGUUGGCGGGGUAAAGGCCCACCAAGGCGACGAUCCGUAGCUGGUCUGAGAGGAGGAUCAGCCACACUGGAAGUGAGACACGGUACAGACUCCUACGGGAGGCAGCGGUGGGGAAUAUUGGACAAUGGGCGCAAGCCUGAUCCAGCCAUACCGCGUGGGUGAAGAAGGCCUUCGGGUUGUAAAGCCCUUUUGUUGGGAAAGAAAAGCAGCAGGUUAAUACCCCGCUGUUCUGACGGUACCCAAAGAAUAAGCACCGGCUAACUUCGUG
RNAcentral lists this ribosomal RNA (492 nucleotides) under uncultured bacterium. RNAcentral describes it as "partial 16S ribosomal RNA". It matches the Rfam family "Bacterial small subunit ribosomal RNA", at positions 29 to 507 of the family's 1533-position model. The record is from RNAcentral.